GCGGGAAUCGAACCCACACCCUUCUGCUUACCGGGCAGGUGCCUUGUCCACACGGCU
This 57-nucleotide transfer RNA is filed under the name Cordylochernes scorpioides. Its description in RNAcentral is "tRNA-Thr". Lineage: Eukaryota; Metazoa; Arthropoda; Arachnida; Pseudoscorpiones; Chernetidae. The record is from RNAcentral.